RNAcentral lists this unclassified non-coding RNA (70 nucleotides) under Thermoanaerobacter uzonensis DSM 18761. The record is from RNAcentral. Lineage: Bacteria; Bacillati; Bacillota; Clostridia; Thermoanaerobacterales; Thermoanaerobacteraceae.
AACCGCCGUAUACCGAACGGUACGUACGGUGGUGUGAGAGGACGCUGAAUAAAAUUGUCAUUUCUCAAAU